Molecule: ribosomal RNA, 514 nt
Filed under: uncultured microorganism
Description: bacterial SSU rRNA
Rfam family: Bacterial small subunit ribosomal RNA
Source: RNAcentral
GAGUUUGAUCGUGGCUCAGGAUGAACGCUGGCGGCGUGCCUAAUACAUGCAAGUCGAGCGAACGGACGAGAAGCUUGCUUCUCUGAUGUUAGCGGCGGACGGGCGAGUAACACGUGGAUAACCUACCUAUAAGACUGGGAUAACUUCGGGAAACCGGAGCUAAUACCGGAUAAUAUUAUGAACCGCAUGGUUCAAAAGUGAAAGACGGUCUUGCUGUCACUUAUAGAUGGAUCCGCGCUGCAUUAGCUAGUUGGUAAGGUAACGGCUUACCAAGGCAACGAUGCAUAGCCGACCUGAGAGGGCGAUCGGCCACACUGGAACUGAGACACGGUCCAGACUCCUACGGGAGGCAGCAGUAGGGAAUCUUCCGCAAUGGGCGAAAGCCUGACGGAGCAACGCCGCGUGAGUGAUGAAGGUCUUCGGAUCGUAAAACUCUGUUAUUAGGGAAGAACAUAUGUGUAAGUAACUGUGCACAUCUUGACGGUACCUAAUCAGAAAGCCACGGCUAACUACG